RNAcentral lists this RNase P RNA (195 nucleotides) under Methanobrevibacter sp. RNAcentral's name for it is "partial RNase P RNA component". It matches the Rfam family "Archaeal RNase P", at positions 1 to 197 of the family's 288-position model. Rfam says of the family: Ribonuclease P (RNase P) is a ubiquitous endoribonuclease, found in archaea, bacteria and eukarya as well as chloroplasts and mitochondria. Its best characterised activity is the generation of mature 5'-ends of tRNAs by cleaving the 5'-leader elements of precursor-tRNAs. The record is from RNAcentral. Lineage: Archaea; Methanobacteriati; Methanobacteriota; Methanobacteria; Methanobacteriales; Methanobacteriaceae.
GGUAAGCCGAAGACAGCUGCUGGUUUUUAUAACUAGGGAAACUCCGCACAUCGCAUAGACUGUAAAGUUGAAAGACUUAUGCUGAGAAGUAUGACUCUGGAGCAGAAACGACACGGCCUUUGAUGGAUGACAAUGAUGCUUGACUGAUGGACAUUAAAGGAAUCGGUGAAACGGCCAAUCUACAGGAUGCAAGAA